This 524-nucleotide ribosomal RNA is filed under the name Achthosus westwoodi. RNAcentral's name for it is "partial 16S ribosomal RNA". It matches the Rfam family "Bacterial large subunit ribosomal RNA", at positions 1808 to 2606 of the family's 2925-position model. Lineage: Eukaryota; Metazoa; Arthropoda; Insecta; Coleoptera; Tenebrionidae. The record is from RNAcentral.
CAAAAACAUGUCUUUUUGAUUUUGAUUGAAGGUCUGACCUGCCCAAUGAAUUUUAAAUGGCCGCAGUAUUUUGACUGUGCAAAGGUAGCAUAAUCAUUAGUUUCUUAAUUAGAAGCUGGAAUGAAAGGUUUGAUGAGAAAUCGACUGUCUCAUGACUAUAUUGGUUGAAUUUUAUUUUUGAGUUAAAAAGCUUAAAUUUUGUAUAGGGACGAGAAGACCCUAUAGAGUUUUAUUAUUUUCAUUUUUUUAGGGAGAAGAUUGAAAGUUUUGAAAAAUUUGAAUUAAUUUUGUUGGGGUGACAGGGAAAUUAUUUAAACUUUCUUUUUAUUUGGACACUACUGAGUGAUUGUUUGAUCCUUUUUUUAAGAUUAAAAGAUUAAAUUACCUUAGGGAUAACAGCGUAAUUCCUUUUGAAAGUUCAUAUUUAUAAAGGAGUUUGCGACCUCGAUGUUGGAUUAAAGUUAAUUUUUGGUGUAGAGGCUGAAAUAUUGGGUCUGUUCGACCUUUGAAACUUUACAUGAUCU